AACGAGUGGCGGACGGGUGAGUAACACGUGGGUAACCUGCCCUUAAGUGGGGGAUAACAUUUGGAAACAGAUGCUAAUACCGCAUAGAUCCAAGAACCGCAUGGUUCUUGGCUGAAAGAUGGCGUAAGCUAUCGCUUUUGGAUGGACCCGCGGCGUAUUAGCUAGUUGGUGAGGUAAUGGCUCACCAAGGCGAUGAUACGUAGCCGAACUGAGAGGUUGAUCGGCCACAUUGGGACUGAGACACGGCCCAAACUCCUACGGGAGGCAGCAGUAGGGAAUCUUCCACAAUGGACGCAAGUCUGAUGGAGCAACGCCGCGUGAGUGAAGAAGGCUUUCGGGUCGUAAAACUCUGUUGUUGGAGAAGAAUGGUCGGCAGAGUAACUGUUGCCGGCGUGACGGUAUCCAACCAGAAAGCCACGGCUAACUACGUGCCAGCAGCCGCGGUAAUACGUAGGUGGCAAGCGUUAUCCGGAUUUAUUGGGCGUAAA
This 488-nucleotide ribosomal RNA is filed under the name Lacticaseibacillus paracasei. Its description in RNAcentral is "bacterial SSU rRNA". It matches the Rfam family "Bacterial small subunit ribosomal RNA", at positions 90 to 564 of the family's 1533-position model. The record is from RNAcentral. Lineage: Bacteria; Bacillati; Bacillota; Bacilli; Lactobacillales; Lactobacillaceae.